RNAcentral lists this unclassified non-coding RNA (226 nucleotides) under Hevea brasiliensis (rubber tree). The record is from RNAcentral. Lineage: Eukaryota; Viridiplantae; Streptophyta; Magnoliopsida; Malpighiales; Euphorbiaceae.
GAGAAUCCUCCCAAAUUUGCCGAGGUCCUGAUUUACUGCGUUUAGAUGCAGUUAUUGCUCUCAAAUGAGAACGAGCAGAGGCUGAAUUAGUGACCGUUGUAAAUGAUGAGGGCUGCAACAGUUGAUCAAGAUAAGGCAUAUCAGCAGUUCCAAAAUAUUUCCAAGGCUGACCCUUCAUUUUGGCUUCCAUGUCUCCUACGAGCAGAGCUGCAGCACCUAGUUCUAG